Molecule: non-coding RNA, 205 nt
Organism: Veillonella sp. oral taxon 780
Lineage: Bacteria; Bacillati; Bacillota; Negativicutes; Veillonellales; Veillonellaceae
Source: Rfam
UACAUAACGGGUCUGUGGUUGAAAGUCGAGGCCAGUCGCAGGCGAAACGAUCCACAUAAGCAAUGAGAAAUUGUGAGCAUGGUGCGGCUUAGAUGUAAGACCUGCCGACAAAAUAUGUCGAGAGGGGUAGUAGUGGGGAGCAUGGCUUAAGAGCGAACCUUCCAGCAGGCGAGUGUGGGGGCAAAGACCAGGUCAGCCGUAUGAA